AACCUAGCACACCUGCGGUGUGUACCUGCGGAGGGAUCAUUAUCGAGUGCGAACCCCCCCGUAAAAAAGGGGGGUUACCUCCCGUCCUUUGCUAGGCACCCUAUUCCAUCGGAAGGGGGUUGCUAUUCAAACCUUUCUGCUUCGGCGGGGUGACCUGCCGAAACAACCUCAAAAAUUCCAAAUCAAAACGGUUCAGUCCGAGAAACUUUUUAAAAAAGCGAAAACUUUUAGCAAUGGAUC
This 240-nucleotide unclassified non-coding RNA is filed under the name soil metagenome. Its description in RNAcentral is "partial contains 5.8S ribosomal RNA, internal transcribed spacer 2, and large subunit ribosomal RNA". The record is from RNAcentral.